This 18-nucleotide non-coding RNA is filed under the name Mus musculus (house mouse). Lineage: Eukaryota; Metazoa; Chordata; Mammalia; Rodentia; Muridae. The record is from RNAcentral.
UGCAGUGCAAUGUGUGCU